Molecule: long non-coding RNA, 260 nt
Filed under: Ananas comosus (pineapple)
Lineage: Eukaryota; Viridiplantae; Streptophyta; Magnoliopsida; Poales; Bromeliaceae
Description: long non-coding RNA (ACOM_LNC026739)
Source: RNAcentral
ACUGAGGUAUGAAUUUAAGUUAAAUUAAGCUAGUUUCGCGGACGAAACUAAAUAUAAGGGGUGGAGAAUGUAACGUAUCGAAACCCGAAAACGAUAAUCGAACUUUAAUCAAAUUGGUUAAAGUGUCGAGAGAAAUGGAUUGGUGAGUUCCAUUGUUGCAUUCCAACAAGGUUGGAAGGGCAAAAAUGGGUUUAAGAAGUGUUGGAAUGGUUUUGGCAUCGAACAGCGCGAAGUAGAGUCGAAACGAUGCAAAAACAGCA